This 716-nucleotide long non-coding RNA is filed under the name Gossypium barbadense (sea-island cotton). Its description in RNAcentral is "long non-coding RNA (GBAR_LNC022189)". Lineage: Eukaryota; Viridiplantae; Streptophyta; Magnoliopsida; Malvales; Malvaceae. The record is from RNAcentral.
AACAGCAGCCACAAGAACUGCUUUCUUCCCCUCUUUGCUCCUCACCGAAAUCUCCUUCCCUACUCAACUCCAAUUCAGAUGACGCGCAGCAAGGGUAUUGACGGCGCACCACCGCUGGUAAGCCUCCUUUCCUUACUCUUUUUUUUGUUUAUUCAUUUUAAGAAACCAGGAAAAAAAAAAGAAAGAACAAAGCAGUAAAAAGAACAGAAAAAUUUGAGCAAAAUUGAUCACCUUUCCCAAAAUUGUUUUUCUGAUUUUUUUUCUCUUGUAUUUUCUUUUUUAAUUUUCAAUACAAAAUUUUGGUAACCCUUAUUACAGAUUCGAUUUUACUUUAAAUAGCCAAAAUAACGAAAAGAACCGAAAACCUCUUUUCCACCCUUUACAGUUCGUGGUUGUUGCAGGUACGAGCGUGUGGCGUGCGUGGAGUGUUGAACGUGGGACGGUGUGGAGGCUGCCAAACGUGGGGCAUGUGGCGCUGCUAAUUGCUGCUAGGGUUUCUGCUGUUUUAGGCCACUUGGGCCCUGUAAUUGGGUUUAGCUUGGCCCAAGUUUUAUUGGGUUUGGGCCCGGGCAUAUUUGGGCUUGUACAGCUGCCCCUCUUUGCUCGUUGUCAUGUAACGGGAACAGAGCAAAGACUAAAAGCCCAAUUGUGCCCGGUCUUACUAAGCCUUGACUUCUUCGGUGCUUUUCUUCUUUAAAUAGUCUCAUUCCUUCCUA